GGGGGCAUAGCUCAGCUGGGAGAGCAACAGACUGAAGUUCGUUCUUCUGGAGGUCCCCGGUUCAAUCCCGGGUGCCCCCA
Armillaria nabsnona is the source of this 80-nucleotide non-coding RNA. Lineage: Eukaryota; Fungi; Basidiomycota; Agaricomycetes; Agaricales; Physalacriaceae. The record is from the annotation of a GenBank genome assembly.